AACAGAUUCUGAUGGUGCACUCUCCCUUGUGGACCCUCAUGCCACAGCAGAAGUCCUUGAUGCUGAGGAAACCGAUGAGGAGAACACAUUGUGGUAUAUGCGGAUAUGGAGUGUGACAUAUGACUGGAUAUUCUUAACGUGGCUGGGCAACCUCCACAUCACUACUAAACCCAGUGAGAUGUGCAACAACUGCCAUAGAUUUAUGAUGUUCAACUGUAUGAUUUUAAUGUCAUGAUGUUAUGUAUUCCCAGUUACCUGCAAAGGACAUUUAUAGGAUCCACCUAGUAAAAAAUAUUUUUAAAAGUGACCUCAAAAAGGUGUUGCUGGACCGUCAGAUAAAAAAGACGAAUCUUGAAAUCGAAAUCCUAAAAUACAAGCUAGUGGUGGGUGCAUGGUUACAGGUGAUUUGUGUUCUAUAUUGGAACAAAAUCGAAACCUACUGUUGCUUUUGUAUUUUUAGGAAAUAAAGAAGACAAAAUGAA
This is a non-coding RNA of Gasterosteus aculeatus aculeatus (three-spined stickleback), 482 nucleotides long. Lineage: Eukaryota; Metazoa; Chordata; Actinopteri; Perciformes; Gasterosteidae. The record is from RefSeq and is a predicted model, not a curated record.